UAUGUGGUAAAGCCGAAUGGCUAGUGUGAAAUAUGUGUGAGAUAUGUAUAUGUGGUAAAGCCGAAUGGCUAGUGUGAAAUAUGUAAGAGAUGUGUGUAUAUUGUGGCCGAAUGACCAAAUGUGAAAGGUGUGUAUUAUUAGAUAUUUGAUGAGGCAAAUGAAUUACAAAUAUGACAGUCGAUGUGAAUGUUGUAACAUGUGAUUAAAUGUACAUGAAACUUGGA
Molecule: long non-coding RNA, 224 nt
Filed under: Gossypium barbadense (sea-island cotton)
Lineage: Eukaryota; Viridiplantae; Streptophyta; Magnoliopsida; Malvales; Malvaceae
Description: long non-coding RNA (GBAR_LNC012632)
Source: RNAcentral